RNAcentral lists this small nuclear RNA (135 nucleotides) under Callorhinchus milii (elephant shark). Lineage: Eukaryota; Metazoa; Chordata; Chondrichthyes; Chimaeriformes; Callorhinchidae. The record is from RNAcentral.
GCGCUUUCCUCUCCCACAAUCCUUACCAAGCAGGAGGCUGCAGCACAUCAACUAAAAUUGGAAACGACACAGAAAACAUCAGCCUGGCCCCUCGGCGAGGAUAAUAUGCAAAUUCCUGAAGCAUUCCAUAUAUUU